AUACGUAGGGGGCGAGCGUUGUCCGGAAUGAUUGGGCGUAAAGGGCGCGUAGGCGGCCCGGUAAGUCUGGAGUGAAAGUCCUGUUUUUAAGAUGGGAAUUGCUUUGGAUACUGUCGGGCUUGAGUGCAGGAGAGGUAAGUGGAAUUCCCAGUGUAGCGGUGAAAUGCGUAGAGAUUCGGAGGAACACCAGUGGCGAAGGCGACUUACUGGACUGUAACUGACGCUGAGGCGCGAAAGUGUGGGGAGCAAACAGGAUUAGAUACCCUGGUAGUCCACACUGUAAACGAUGAAUGCUAGGUGUAGGGGGUAUCGACCCCUUCUGUGCCGCAGUCAACACAAUAAGCAUUCCGCCUGGGGAGUACGGCCGCAAGGUUGAAACUCAAAGGAAUUGACGGGG
Molecule: ribosomal RNA, 397 nt
Filed under: uncultured bacterium
Lineage: Bacteria
Description: partial 16S ribosomal RNA
Rfam family: Bacterial small subunit ribosomal RNA
Source: RNAcentral